AUUGACUUUAAUCAAUUUUAUGGGUUACACGUAACUUUGAAAAAUUUCCACUUAAAUUAUUUCCUGAGAUUAAUUGUGAUUUGAAUAACAUUCUUGGCGUCAGUCAAUAAUAGUCCGAUAAUGCAAGACCUAAGCUAUGCAAUAAGAACUAUGUCAUAUAACAAUGGAACAAAAAUGUGCGGUUGUACCCUCGUCCCGCGGGACGCUCGACACGCCGGGCUCGACGCGGGGUUCGCGAGAUAAGGUGCUGACAACGAAAUGCGACGAUAAUAAAUAAUAAAUAAUGCCAUUGAAACUUUACGAAAAGUUUAAAUUGCAAUUUCACGCCGGCUUUUACUUCGCACUGACUAGAAAAAUAUGUGUACAUUUAAAACUCAAGAAAUUUAAAAUAAUUGUGUUUGCUCGCAAACGAAAAAAAAACCGACUUCAAUUACAUCGACAAGUAAUACAACGUAGAUCGACGAAAAAAUAGUCAAGCAACUACGCGUUAUUAAAGAUUACUCAAAAAGUAGUUAUUAGAUCUCAAUAAAAUUUAUAUGUGACCACAUGAUAAACAUCAGCUUUCGAUUAAAUUAAAAAUUAUCAAAAUCGGUACACCCAGU
Molecule: unclassified non-coding RNA, 602 nt
Filed under: Melitaea cinxia (Glanville fritillary)
Lineage: Eukaryota; Metazoa; Arthropoda; Insecta; Lepidoptera; Nymphalidae
Description: misc RNA ENSMCXG00005006879.1
Source: RNAcentral